Molecule: long non-coding RNA, 714 nt
Filed under: Bemisia tabaci
Lineage: Eukaryota; Metazoa; Arthropoda; Insecta; Hemiptera; Aleyrodidae
Description: lncRNA ENSSSA2NGG004084
Source: RNAcentral
GGUAUCAACGACCCCUCGUUCAAAGCGCAGAUCCAGCAAUGCGAUCAGGCGGCCAAGUAUAUCCACGAUCAACUCGCGGCUCAUGGGCUUCAGGAUAAGGUCAACGUUUUUCUUCUCAGCGACCACGGCAUGGUGUCCAUCAAACAGGAGCAUAUAAUCGAUCUUAACAAGUUCGCCGAUCUCAGUUCCUUCGAUCUCACCGGCACCUCUCCCGUUGUCCAAAUCACUGCCAUCAACACCACACAAAAGAGCUCAUUGAUAAAUAAAACUUAUUCAGAUCUUAAAUCCGGAGAGAAACGCAACGGCCACUUCAGGAUUUUCUUAAGAGAAGAGAUCCCAGACACGUAUCAUUAAAAACACAAUGCCCGAGUCUCAGACAUGCUGGCUGUAGCUGAUUUGGAAUACGGUUUUCAAGAUUUGAUGAAGGCCAUCGAAUAUUACAGCAAAAAGGAAAAGAUAACUAUGACUCCAAAAAGUGAACUUGGUAUACAUGGCUACAGCAAUGAUGAACCAAGCAUGUACCCAUUCUUAGUGGCGUAUGGACCUGGACUGAAACAGAACACAACUGUGCCCCCAUUCAAUGUUGUGGACCUGUAUCCUAUAUUCGCCAAACUACUCCAGCUAUCUCUGCCGCAGAGCACUACUCGCUACAAAUUACGGGGGAACCUGGACCUUAGCUCCGCCUUCGUCGUUCCUUCAAAUAUCUCUGGGUGA